AUGUUUGCGGACGCAGCAUCAUCAAGAUUCAGAUCGGGGUAAUGAGAAGUGACGGUCGGAUAUAUUAACCCGAUGAGAGAAUCUUGAUGAUGCUGCGUCGGCAAUAAA
Molecule: microRNA precursor, 108 nt
Filed under: Ananas comosus (pineapple)
Lineage: Eukaryota; Viridiplantae; Streptophyta; Magnoliopsida; Poales; Bromeliaceae
Description: mir-172 microRNA precursor family
Rfam family: mir-172 microRNA precursor family
About the family: mir-172 has been experimentally verified in Arabidopsis thaliana. This family is thought to target mRNAs coding for APETALA2-like transcription factors.
Source: Rfam by way of RNAcentral